This 1411-nucleotide long non-coding RNA is filed under the name Homo sapiens (human). RNAcentral's name for it is "HSALNT0301351". The record is from RNAcentral. Lineage: Eukaryota; Metazoa; Chordata; Mammalia; Primates; Hominidae.
CUUUGAUAAAGAGUAUUACAGAAAAUUUUAAUUUUCUUCUUUUUGCUGUUUUCUAAAUGGUCACACCUUUUUCUCGGCUAUAUUUCCAAAAGUCUAAACUGAAACAUAAAUUAUAAUGAGAAGAAAAACAAUAAAGGUUAUUAUUUUUAAAACACUAGAGCUGAAUCUCAGCUACCUAUCUAGAUCUCUUGGCCUGAGCCCUGGACCCAGCUAAAAAUAGUUCAGAGCCUUGCCAGCUGGGAGCUGGGCUAUGUUUAGCAGAAACUGGCACACGAGUGAAAUGGGGUGGAGCCAAGUAGACACUUUGGAUCCGGUAGGCAUAGCUCUCCCACAGGAGACUGUUUAGGCCAUGCCUGGCAUCAGUAACUCAGGCUGUUUCCCACACUACAGGCCAGCACUGUGGGCUCUCAGUUUAUUGGGAAAUGGAAAUAAGAGGGAAGGACAAAAGUCCACUGGGAAGCAGACUGGACAGAAAGGAACUCUGAGCAGCUAAACUCUGACUAAUCCCAGGGUAUACCUGCGUUUUCUCUUCACCAGAUUUUUCCUACCAGGAAGAGCAUGUGCUGACCAACAGACAUGAAUUUCAGCCUGGUAGUUACAACAUUCACAGUAUACCCACAUCACUAAGCUGGGAGGCACAUUUUGAGACCCAGAAUCCUGACACCUCCAUGCCUUCAAAAGGACAGGAGUUUCACUCGUUGCCCAGGCUGGAGUGCAACGGCGCGAUCUCAGCUCACUGCAACCUCCGCCUCCCCAGUUCAAGCGAUUCUCCUGCCUCAGCCUCCUGAGUCACUGGAAUUACGGGCGCCUGACACCACGCCCAGCUAAUUUUUUGUAUUUUUAGUAGACAUGGGGUUUCACUAUGUUGGCCAGGCUGGUCUCGAACUCCUGACCUCAUGAUCCUCCUGCCUCAGCCUCCCAAAGCACUGGGAUUACAGGUGUGAGCCACUGUGCCUGGUCCAUUAAAAACAUUUGUAAAGCUAUGGUGUUGAUAAAGUAUUAUGAAAGACUGCAAAAAAAGAUGGCUAAUUUUUAGUUAUUAUUGCACAUGUUUAGAGGAGCUAAUGACAUUUUCUAUGAUUAAUAAAAGACAUUAUUUAUGUUUUUAUUUAUGUAUUCCACAACAUUUAUUUUAUUUUCUCCAUUUCAGGAAAACCACUAUGUUGUUACAAUAAAGAUUUUCAUGUAAUUUGUGUUCAAUUGAUAGUAAUAAUGUAACAAGUUAAAAAUGAAGGUAAUUGUGUUUAAAAUUUGAGCAUAUUUUCAUCAAAAUGUAAGUUAAAGUGAUUGUAAAUUUUAAGAUCAUAAUUACUUUGUAUAUCUUCAAGAAAAUUAUUGUUUUAAAAUAUUUAUGCCUAUUAAAAUUAGAAGGCAAAAUAAAAAUAUAUGAAUACCAACAUUUUAAAUAAAA